This 831-nucleotide ribosomal RNA is filed under the name uncultured bacterium. Its description in RNAcentral is "bacterial SSU rRNA". It matches the Rfam family "Bacterial small subunit ribosomal RNA", at positions 56 to 882 of the family's 1533-position model. The record is from RNAcentral.
UGNAAGUCGAGCGGAUGAGAAGAGCUUGCUCUUCGAUUCAGCGGCGGACGGGUGAGUAAUGCCUAGGAAUCUGCCUGGUAGUGGGGGACAACGUUUCGAAAGGAACGCUAAUACCGCAUACGUCCUACGGGAGAAAGCGGGGGACCUUCGGGCCUUGCGCUAUCAGAUGAGCCUAGGUCGGAUUAGCUAGUUGGUGGGGUAAUGGCUCACCAAGGCGACGAUCCGUAACUGGUCUGAGAGGAUGAUCGGUCACACUGGAACUGAGACACGGUCCAGACUCCUACGGGAGGCAGCAGUGGGGAAUAUUGGACAAUGGGCGAAAGCCUGAUCCAGCCAUGCCGCGUGUGUGAAGAAGGUCUUCGGAUUGUAAAGCACUUUAAGUUGGGAGGAAGGGCAGUAAGCUAAUACCUUGCUGUUUUGACGUUACCGACAGAAUAAGCACCGGCUAACUCUGUGCCAGCAGCCGCGGUAAUACAGAGGGUGCAAGCGUUAAUCGGAAUUACUGGGCGUAAAGCGCGCGUAGGUGGUUUGUUAAGUUGGAUGUGAAAGCCCCGGGCUCAACCUGGGAACUGCAUCCAAAACUGGCAAGCUAGAGUACGGUAGAGGGUGGUGGAAUUUCCUGUGUAGCGGUGAAAUGCGUAGAUAUAGGAAGGAACACCAGUGGCGAANGCGACCACCUGGACUGAUACUGACACUGANGUGCGAAAGCGUGGAGAGCAAACAGGAUUAGAUACCCUGGUAGUCCACGCCGUAAACGAUGUCAACUAGCCGUUGGAAUCCUUGANAUUUUAGUGGCNCANCUAACGCAUUAAGUUNACCGNCUGGGGAGUA